CGGGGGAACUGAAACAUCUAAGUACCCCGAGGAAAAGAAAUCAACCGAGAUUCCCCCAGUAGCGGCGAGCGAACGGGGAGGAGCCCAGAGCCUGAAUCAGCAUGUGUGUUAGUGGAAGCGUCUGGAAAGGCGCGCGAUACAGGGUGACAGCCCCGUACACAAAAGCGCAUGUGCUGUGAGCUCGAUGAGUAGGGCGGGACACGUGGUAUCCUGUCUGAAUAUGGGGGGACCAUCCUCCAAGGCUAAAUACUCCUGACUGACCGAUAGUGAACCAGUACCGUGAGGGAAAGGCGAAAAGAACCCCGGCGAGGGGAGUGAAAAAGAACCUGAAACCGUGUACGUACAAGCAGUGGGAGCACAGGUUUACCUGUGUGACUGCGUACCUUUUGUAUAAUGGGUCAGCGACUUAUAUUCUGUAGCAAGGUUAACCGAAUAGGGGAGCCGGAGGGAAACCGAGUCUUAAUUGGGCGUUAAGUUGCAGGGUAUAGACCCGAAACCCGGUGAUCUAGCCAUGGGCAGGUUGAAGGUUGGGUAACACUAACUGGAGGACCGAACCGACUAAUGUUGAAAAAUUAGCGGAUGACCUGUGGCUGGGGGUGAAAGGCCAAUCAAACCGGGAGAUAGCUGGUUCUCCCCGAAAGCUAUUUAGGUAGCGCCUCGUGAACUCAUCUCCGGGGGUAGAGCACUGUUUCGGCUAGGGGGCCAUCCCGGCUUACCAACCCGAUGCAAACUGCGAAUACCGGAGAAUGUUAUCACGGGAGACACACGGCGGGUGCUAACGUCCGUCGUGAAGAGGGAAACAACCCAGACCGCCAGCUAAGGUCCCAAAGUCAUGGUUAAGUGGGAAACGAUGUGGGAAGGCCCAGACAGCCAGGAUGUUGGCUUAGAAGCAGCCAUCAUUUAAAGAAAGCGUAAUAGCUCACUGGUCGAGUCGGCCUGCGCGGAAGAUGUAACGGGGCUAAACCAUGCACCGAAGCUGCGGCAGCGAACGUAUCACUUAAAGCGAUUCAGCGGGUUACGAUUGACGGAGCGAAGCGACGUCAAAG
Molecule: ribosomal RNA, 1046 nt
Filed under: Salmonella enterica subsp. enterica
Lineage: Bacteria; Pseudomonadati; Pseudomonadota; Gammaproteobacteria; Enterobacterales; Enterobacteriaceae
Description: partial 23S ribosomal RNA
Rfam family: Bacterial large subunit ribosomal RNA
Source: RNAcentral